GGGUCAUUAACUCAGCGGUUCAGAGUGCUACCUUGACAGGGUAGAAGUCACUGGUUCGAUUCCAGUAUGACCCACAA
Molecule: transfer RNA, 77 nt
Filed under: Flavobacterium johnsoniae
Lineage: Bacteria; Pseudomonadati; Bacteroidota; Flavobacteriia; Flavobacteriales; Flavobacteriaceae
Also listed under: 2 other names
Description: tRNA-Val
Rfam family: tRNA
About the family: Transfer RNA (tRNA) molecules are approximately 80 nucleotides in length. Their secondary structure includes four short double-helical elements and three loops (D, anti-codon, and T loops).
Source: RNAcentral